Molecule: small RNA, 76 nt
Filed under: Xanthomonas vasicola
Lineage: Bacteria; Pseudomonadati; Pseudomonadota; Gammaproteobacteria; Lysobacterales; Lysobacteraceae
Description: sX9 sRNA
Rfam family: Xanthomonas sRNA sX9
Source: RNAcentral
AUGUACCGCUCGUACACUGCGGUUCCUGCGCGCCGGCAGCACUCACCUCACGACGGCGCGCUACGUGUUGCUAGCC